RNAcentral lists this ribosomal RNA (488 nucleotides) under Baylisascaris transfuga (bear roundworm). RNAcentral describes it as "partial small subunit ribosomal RNA". The record is from RNAcentral. Lineage: Eukaryota; Metazoa; Nematoda; Chromadorea; Rhabditida; Ascarididae.
UUUGUAAACUUGAACUCUAAUUGGUGUUGGUUUGAGGUUUUGUUUUUGUCUUGUUUUUUAGGGUGAAAUCAGAAAUUUUUAUUAAUGGUGCCUUAAACUUUAAGAUUUGGUGAAUGAAUCAGAUUAGUACCUGAUUAAACAAAAGUUAAAAGAGCAGGAGUAAAGUUAUGUUUAAACUGUAAGAGUAUUGGCAGGUUUUUAAAUUAUCUUUGGAGGUUGAGUAGUAAUUGAGAGCCCUCAUUAACAACUUUUGCUAUAGGCGCAUGUAUGAUCGUUUAUUUUAUUCUUAAGGAUUGCAAUUUUAGAUGGGUCUCUAUUAAAAUAGAUAGAUAUUUGGUGUAUGUAGAAGAUUUAAUUUGACCUACAAUAUAUUAUUUUGUGGAUACCCCUUUAGUGGGGGGUUGAAAGUGUAAAAGACAGUAAGUUUUUUUUUAUGUAAGACUGAAGUUUAUUUAAAAACGGUACAAAUCAUCCAUCAAUUGCCUUCA